GGGGAAUUGUUCGCAAUGGGCGAAAGCCUGACGACGCAAUGCCGCGUGGAGGAUGAAGGAUUUCGGUCCGUAAACUCCUUUCGACCGAGAUGAAGAUCCGCCGACCCAAUACGUCGGCGGAGUGACAGUAUCGAGGGAAGAAGCCCCGGCUAACUCCGUGCCAGCAGCCGCGGUAAUACGGGGGGGGCGAGCGUUGUUCGGAAUUACUGGGCGUAAAGGGUUCGUAGGUGGCUUGCUAAGUCAGACGUGAAAUCCCUCGGCUCAACCGGGGAAUUGCGUCUGAAACUGGCGAGCUUGAGUGCAGGAGAGGAACGCGGAAUUCCAGGUGUAGCGGUGAAAUGCGUAGAUAUCUGGAGGAACACCGGUGGCGAAGGCGGCGUUCUGGACUGCAACUGACACUGAGGAACGAAAGCCAGGGUAGCAA
RNAcentral lists this ribosomal RNA (424 nucleotides) under uncultured bacterium. Its description in RNAcentral is "bacterial SSU rRNA". It matches the Rfam family "Bacterial small subunit ribosomal RNA", at positions 356 to 771 of the family's 1533-position model. The record is from RNAcentral.